RNAcentral lists this ribosomal RNA (200 nucleotides) under uncultured bacterium. RNAcentral's name for it is "partial 16S ribosomal RNA". It matches the Rfam family "Bacterial small subunit ribosomal RNA", at positions 30 to 232 of the family's 1533-position model. The record is from RNAcentral.
AUUGAACGCUGGCGGCAGGCCUAACACAUGCAAGUCGAGCGCGAAAGUUCUUCGGAAUGAGUAAAGCGGCGGACGGGUGAGUAAUACAUGGGAAUCUGCCUGGUAGUGGGGGACAACGUUUCGAAAGGAACGCUAAUACCGCAUACGCCCUACGGGGGAAAGGGGGGGAGUCUUCGGACCUCUCGCUAUCAGAUGAGCCC